GCAGGAAGGAGAUUGGCUCUGUUCCUUGAGGUGCGCUUCUGCUGUUUCUGCAGGAGCUAACAGAGUCCAGCCAGUCAGAUGUCAGUUUUGGGGACUCUUCUGGCACUAUUUCCAAGGCAGGUACAUGCAAUGUGUUCGCAGAAAAGAUGGCACUUCCAAACAGUGAGAGAGCUGUCUCUAACCCACUCAACCUGAGAGCACUGUACUACUGAGUGAGCUCUGCCACUUAGUCAAGACCACUGUGGUGCCAUCAAGACCUACAUGGUAUCAGUGAUCCACACCUCUCCCUGACUGUGAACAGCACAUUAAAAUUUCACUAUUACUGUGUACCCAAGGCAUACGCGGUUUGACUGCUAUCUACCUUCUAAGAGAAGCUGUAAUGUUAAAUAUCUAACCAGGAAAACAUGCAUUUUAAGCAAUAUUUUUUCUAACUUUUAACAUCUGAUCGGUCCAACCCAGCCAGGCUUUAAAGCUGUCUGUUGAGAAUCCUACUUCAAUAUUUUUGCUGAUUCAUUGUAUGUAUGAAAGGGAAAACAAAAUCCAAGAUUUUAUGAUUUGAUAUGGCAAAUACACCAGAAAAAAAAAUAAACACUUUAAAAUAAGUUUUACAAUAAUUCAAACAAACUUUUCUGCUUUCUGUUCCACCGCUUCACAUGAUGACCAUCCUCUCAAGUGACAAGAUCUUCAGUAUUUUGGGGUUCAGCACAAAAGAUCUUUGUGCCAGAAACUAGAACAGUGAGUGGCAACACAACUCGUUCAGCCUCUGGGAUGUUCAGCAAACUGGAAAGAGGGAAGAAAAUUGGCUAGCUGCAGCAGGAAUCAGAUGUUAGUACCAGAAUAAAACUGAUCCUCUUGACUGAAGGCUGGACAACACAUAAUGACAGUGAGGAGAGAACAGGAAAGGCAUUUUUCAAAGGCAUACUCUACUGUCAUAAAUCCAGAGGCUUCCUUCAGAGCUGGGGGAUUCUGCGAGAGCAAAGAACACAAGUAGAAUAGGCAAUGAUCGUAUCAAGAGCACAACAAAAAAGUUAGAAAAUAGGAGAAGAAGAGAUGCCCACCAACUUGAAGCAAUGAUGUCAGGAAAGACCGUAAUUUCUUGUUCUACCUCAACAAGAAACUUAACAGCACACAGAACAUUUUGCUUUAAAAAUGUCCUCCAGUGCCUGCAUGGAGUAUCUAUCGGAAGGUGACACUUUCCUUCUCUUGUGAUUGGUUGUGUGCCCUGGGAAAUGUAAAAAUAUCACCAAGGUAUGCAUAAGAGAGAAGUUAAUUAGUUUAACUUCCCGAUGGGAAUAUAUUAACAGUGUAAUAAGAUGCUCAAAGACUAUCUUUAUGAUUGUCCCUGCCAAAAUAGUUGCUGGAAAGCUUUUAUUUUUUAAUGCAAGAAGUUUUAUCCUCCAUAUGGAGAUCCAGAUGCUGACUAUGAUCUUUGUGUGGCA
RNAcentral lists this long non-coding RNA (1439 nucleotides) under Anser brachyrhynchus (Pink-footed goose). RNAcentral's name for it is "lncRNA (ENSABRG00000007843.1)". Lineage: Eukaryota; Metazoa; Chordata; Aves; Anseriformes; Anatidae. The record is from RNAcentral.